AUCCAAGGAAGGCAGCAGGCGCGCAAAUUACCCACUCCCGGCACGGGGAGGUAGUGACGAAAAAUAACGAUACGGGACUCAUCCGAGGCCCCGUAAUCGGAAUGAGUACACUCUAAACCCUUUAACGAGGAUCAAUUGGAGGGCAAGUCUGGUGCCAGCAGCCGCGGUAAUUCCAGCUCCAAUAGCGUAUAUUAAAGUUGUUGCGGUUAAAAAGCUCGUAGUCGAAUCUGUGUCCCGCGCCGCUGGUUCAUCGUACGCGGUGUCAACUGGCGUGCCGCGGGACGUCCUGCCGGUGGGCUUAGCCCGAAAGGGCGGCCCAACUCAAUCCCGCCGCGGUGCUCUUCAUUGAGUGUCGAGGUGGGCCGGCACGUUUACUUUGAACAAAUUAGAGUGCUUAAAGCAGGCUAAAACUUCGCCUGAAUACUGUGUGCAUGGAAUAAUGGAAUAGGACCUCGGUUCUAUUUUGUUGGUUUUCGGAACCCCGAGGUAAUGAUUAAUAGGAACGGAUGGGGGCAUUCGUAUUGCGACGUUAGAGGUGAAAUUCUUGGAUCGUCGCAAGACGGACAGAAGCGAAAGCAUUUGCCAAAAACGCUUUCAUUGAUCAAGAACGAAAGUUAGAGUUUCGAAGGCGAUCAGAUACCGCCCUAGUUCUAACCAUAAACGAUGCCAGCUAGCGAUCCGCCGACGUUCCUCCGAUGACUCGGCGGGCAGCUUCCGGGAANCCAAAGCUUUUGGGUUCCNGGGGGAAGUAUGGUUGCAAAGCUGAAACUUAAAGGAAUUGACGGAAGGGCACCACCAGGAGUGGAGCCUGCGGCUUAAUUUGACUCAACACGGGAAACCUCACCAGGCCCGGACACCGGAAGGAUUGACAGAUUGAGAGCUCUUUCUUGAUUCGGUGGGUGGUGGUGCAUGGCCGUUCUUAGUUGGUGGAGCGAUUUGUCUGGUUAAUUCCGAUAACGAACGAGACUCUAGCCUGCUAACUAGGCGUAUUUCGACAUCCCAAAGGCCCGCCGGUGUGGGGUUUCGGCUCCUGCUGCGCGCGGUUUUUACUGUCGGCGUACAAACAAUUCUUCUUAGAGGGACAGGCGGCUUCUAGCCGCACGAGAUUGAGCAAUAACAGGUCUGUAAUGCCCUUAGAUGUUCUGGGCCGCACGCGCGCUACACUGAAGGAAUCAGCGUGUCCUCCCUGGCCGAGCGGCCCGGGUAACCCGCUGAACCUCCUUCGUGCUAGGGAUUGGGGCUUGCAAUUGUUCCCCAUGAACGAGGAAUUCCCAGUAAGCGCGAGUCAUAAGCUCGCGUUGAUUACGUCCCUGCCCUUUGUACACACCGCCCGUCGCUACUACCGAUUGAAUGAUUUAGUGAGGUCUUCGGACUGAGCGCGGUGGCGUUUCGGCGUCGUCGAUGCUUCGGAAAGAUGACCAAACUUGAUCAUUUAGAGGAAGUAAAAGUCGUAACA
This 1456-nucleotide ribosomal RNA is filed under the name Andersonaltica sp. n. AFD-2021a. RNAcentral describes it as "SSU rRNA". It matches the Rfam family "Eukaryotic small subunit ribosomal RNA", at positions 414 to 1796 of the family's 1831-position model. Lineage: Eukaryota; Metazoa; Arthropoda; Insecta; Coleoptera; Chrysomelidae. The record is from RNAcentral.